UAAACCUUUGAAGAAAAAAAAGCCUCCACUGCCUCUUAAAAUAGUUUCAGAUCCUGUGAAGAAUCUUCCUGGAACAGAUUUAGUUUGAAGUGUUACAGAAACAACUUCUGUCCAAACACAAGGCAGAAUGACAGUGGAUAUGGAAAAUCUCAUGAGCUUUGGCAGUCAGUGCUCAUCCUCGGUGUCAGAAGCAGUUUUCAGAGAUGGGAAUG
RNAcentral lists this long non-coding RNA (212 nucleotides) under Coturnix japonica (Japanese quail). Its description in RNAcentral is "lncRNA (ENSCJPG00005004061.1)". Lineage: Eukaryota; Metazoa; Chordata; Aves; Galliformes; Phasianidae. The record is from RNAcentral.